AAUGGAUUCUGUGAAUUUGCAGAGAAACUGCAGGCGAGGGAGAAGAGUUAAGGGGCCGGAUAUCUGCUGGUUUCCAUUUCUAUGUCUGACGUUUGAUCAGGUUAUGGUUGCCCACAUGAGAGGAAGAGAAGUGUUUCUGAACAGUUGCCCGGAGCAUGAAUGAUGCAUAUCCAAAUGAGCUGCCUGAUUAUAAAGAGCGUGAACCUUGCAGUCAUAACUGCUGUGGCAUUAGCUGCAGGGGACCUCUGGCUCGGGGAUGUGUUGCAGAUGGGUCCUUGUGAGUGCAGAGUUUGCAGAAUCUGGAGGGGCCUUCCAACAACCACUGCCAUCAGUUACAGCUGUACCAUUACUGAGUUAAUGGGUUUCAGGUCAGCUCUUCAGCCGCCAUCGCCGCACUGUGUGGAGCGAGAGCAGAGAGGCAUUUUGCCUUUCCUGACGGGACGGUGAGCAUGAAAUGGAGAGAGAGAAUGAGGGGAGACGCUCAGCGAAGGGAGGGAACCGAAUCUAUGGCAGCUGCAGGAAAGCUCAGUGUCUGUGUCCUCCACCAAUGUAUUCAUUUCUGCAGCAUCUCCUCCCUUUCAUUGUUCAUCUGUUCCUCCAUGUAAGUUGAGAGUGUUUAGCUUUAGCAGUAGAUUUUGGACAAUUAACAUGAACUGUAAUUAGCUAAAAACUAUUUCAUUAAAUUCUGUUGGUUUUGUUGUUGACAGACCAACUUUAUGAUUAUAUAAUUAAAUGGGCCUAAAAACUUGUUCAACCAGAUGAAAUCUUUUUUUAAUUUAACGUUAUUUUGCAAAAAAAAAUAUAUUGAAGGUAAAUAAAGUUUAUUUUCCAUUCAUGAACAUUCAUUUAAUUGUAUUUAUCAAUUGAUAUAUUUAUAAUUAUGCAAUAAAUAUAAGUAAUAUGCUUAACCAGCAAUCUUAAAUCAAGUGGUAAACUGAGUAUUUAUAUUCCUUGAACACUAGGGGGAGAAGUUCUUGCAAUAUAUUCAACAUUAGAUGUAAGAAAGAUGUGUUCUAACUGUUUCUCGAGGUCACACGUCUCUGAGCCCUUUGUCUAUUUCCAUUUCAACCCAUAUUUGAAGAAUUACGUGAUGCAGCCUAUAGAAAUGUCUUAAAUAUAUUGAUUAUGAUGCAUUGCUGGAAAUAAA
Molecule: long non-coding RNA, 1147 nt
Organism: Pleuronectes platessa (European plaice)
Lineage: Eukaryota; Metazoa; Chordata; Actinopteri; Pleuronectiformes; Pleuronectidae
Exons: 4
Source: RefSeq, a predicted model, not a curated record